UGAACGCUAGCUACAGGCUUAACACAUGCAAGUCGAGGGGCAGCAUGGUCUUAGCUUGCUAAGGCCGAUGGCGACCGGCGCACGGGUGAGUAACACGUAUCCAACCUGCCGUCUACUCUUGGACAGCCUUCUGAAAGGAAGAUUAAUACAAGAUGGCAUCAUGAGUCCGCAUGUUCACAUGAUUAAAGGUAUUCCGGUAGACGAUGGGGAUGCGUUCCAUUAGAUAGUAGGCGGGGUAACGGCCCACCUAGUCUUCGAUGGAUAGGGGUUCUGAGAGGAAGGUCCCCCACAUUGGAACUGAGACACGGUCCAAACUCCUACGGGAGGCAGCAGUGAGGAAUAUUGGUCAAUGGGCGCAGGCCUGAACCAGCCAAGUAGCGUGAAGGAUGACUGCCCUAUGGGUUGUAAACUUCUUUUAUAAAGGAAUAAAGUCGGGUAUGUAUACCCGUUUGCAUGUACUUUAUGAAUAAGGAUCGGCUAACUCCGUGCCAGCAGCCGCGGUAAUACGGAGGAUCCGAGCGUUAUCCGGAUUUAUUGGGUUUAAAGGGAGCGUAGAUGGAUGUUUAAGUCAGUUGUGAAAGUUUGCGGCUCAACCGUAAAAUUGCAGUUGAUACUGGAUAUCUUGAGUGCAGUUGAGGCAGGCGGAAUUCGUGGUGUAGCGGUGAAAUGCUUAGAUAUCACGAAGAACUCCGAUUGCGAAGGCAGCCUGCUGAGCUGCAACUGACAUUGAGGCUCGAAAGUGUGGGUAUCAAACAGGAUUAGAUACCCUGGUAGUCCACACGGUAAACGAUGAAUACUCGCUGUUUGCGAUAUACAGCAAGCGGCCAAGCGAAAGCGUUAAGUAUUCCACCUGGGGAGUACGCCGGCAACGGUGAAACUCAAAGGAAUUGAA
Molecule: ribosomal RNA, 892 nt
Filed under: uncultured organism
Description: SSU rRNA
Rfam family: Bacterial small subunit ribosomal RNA
Source: RNAcentral